UUUUAUUUCCUGGCCUUUGCACAAGCUUUUCCUCCUGCCUCAAACUUUUCCUCUUCUCCUACCCAAACUCUUCUUUUUUUUCCUUUUCAAAACAUUCUUCUUGCAGUGAAGAAUGAAAAUAGGGCUGCAAAGGUAGGAAAUCUUAAUGAAAACUAUUUAAAAUCCGCAGCUGUGGCUGUGAAGGUAGCAUCAGUUAAAAGGAAGAUGAAGAAAGCCCCACAGCUCGGCACCAGUCACAAGGUUUUGGAGGUCCCUCUCAGGUCAGUUCCUGGAACUUGUCACAACCUGAGUGGCUCUCUGGACUGUCAUCUGCAAACCCCAGGCCACAGGACCUGAGCCCAGGUGCCGCUGUCUGUGUGCACAUUCCUUGUGGGCUUUGCUUGAUCUCCUCUCACUGGCUUGUCUUUGUCAGCAGCCGACCUCUGGGAUUUAUAGGCUGCCUUCUCUAUGACCUGAGGCCUUGGGGAUCUGGGCCUGCACGGUGCCCAGGACAGAGGCUGGAACCUCACUGGACAACCAACAAGGACUCGGAGGGGAGCUGAGGUCAGCGCGGGACCCUUUCCUCCCUGCCCCAAACCAGAAGUAGCCACUGCUCGUGGCUCCCAUGAGGCCCUUCCUUCCAGCUGUCAGAGCCUCAGUGUCCACCUCUAGCUGCCCAAGGUGACCACAAAGGGCUCGGUGAGCUGUGGACUGCUACGAAAGGCAAUUGCAAGCCGUGGGCCCAGGCUUUCCAGUGCCGAGCCGCUCAGCAUCUGCUCCUCCCACAGCGCAGCCGCAAAGGAGCCUUCACCUGAAACCAAUCACCCACUUGGAGGCGCAAGUCACCAUGGGAGCCACGGGUGCCCCCUCGUGGUCACAGAGAGGACUGCAGGCCCAGUUUGUUGAGCUGACCAGGCCCGGACCCGGUAUGAGGAAAUGUCCUGAAGUCUCCUGUGGGCCAUAGCCAAGAUGAUGUCCCCCAUGCCCCGAGCCAGCCCUACCCUGCCAAGUCCAAGCCAGGGACGCAGAGUCCAUGCUGCUUCUGGGAACCCCAGGGUUGGGACACGGGAUCGCAGCCCUUAGGCCAUGGAAUUGAAGAGCAGGAUGCCAGUUGUCACCACUGGGGACCUCGGUCCUCACCUCCUUUUUGCCUUUAUUCCCGCCCAGGAAUCUCCUCAGUGUUGUGACUUCAGUUACCGUCAACAGACCUUAAAGCUCCCAAAUUUACCUCUCCACUCAUUCAUUCAUGGAGCAAGUGGUUAUUAAGUGCCUACUGUAUACCAGAUGCCUAUGGACCCUGACUGCAGCUGCCUGCCUGGCAUUUCCCGUGGAGAAGCCCCCUCUGUAUGCUGUGAGCUAUCCCUGGGCCCUAGAGAUGAUGCCAUGGGAGAAGCUAGAGCUGCAUAGCCGAUGGGAACUCAGGCGAGAGUGCUGGAUGAUGCAGGCAACUCUAAGGUCAUAUUCCAGGGUGCAAGGGCACAUAGGACGCUGCAUACAAACAAGGACCUCAGCAUCCGCUCUAAGUGGGAACGCAGACACCGUGGGUGCUGCUGGGAGGCAGGAAUGUCCAUCCAGGCCAUAGCAACAGUGAGCGGGGCAUCUUGCAAGGAGCAGACCCUCCAAACCUAUCAGGCAAUGGCUCUCAAAGACACAGCAGCUCCUUGCCUCCUGAAGGGUGGGGUGGGGGCUGGAUUUCCUCCGGGAGAAACGGGACUUCCCUCUGGGAAUCAGAGCAGCAGAGGGGGCUAGGCAAAGGGGAAGUGGGUGUCUGCUUCGGUGCUGAGGCGGGACACUGAAUGGACCUCUGGCCUAAACACUGACAUACUGCAUGCACUUGUAAAUUGGGGGGUAUAUCUUCGGGGUAUGUCUGUCUGUCUUGGCUCCUGAAGACCACAGAAAGAGCACAGAAUGAUAGCCAACCUCUCUACUCCCACCGGGGGCAGAAGGAGGGGCCAGGCUAAGAGCUCUGCCAGCAGAUCAAAGCAACCGUGUCUGCAGACAGAGUGGGCACAGGAGGUGGGAACAUGAUGCUCCCCUGUUCUGAUGAAAGGAACCUGCACCCCAAACGUGGGGACUGGCAGCCAAUCCACUGUCCUGCAAGGAGAUGGAAGUGGACUGCUGCAGGACAUUCCCAGCCUGGAAGUGCCUGGGAGGCAGGAUGCAUUUGUGAUGAGAGGACACCUCCUUGCCAUGGUCCUGGGGUGGGGGGUGGGGCCUCAGGGCAGGGAACACCGGAAGCAGCUGCGUUCUGGAGUACAGGCAGGAAGUGCAUUGGUGCGCAUGCUCUGUGGGGCGGUGCUGCGCAGGUCUAAUUCUGUCCAGAGUCCCAGCAGUCUAGCGUUACUAUGGCCACAUAGUAAUGACAGGAAACCCAGUCUCCAUGGAGGUUGGACUCUAGAUUUGUAAUCUCCUGCAACAGGAGAGAAGGAGGGGGCAAGCAGAGCUUGGGUGCAGCACCCCUCCUGGGACGCCCUGACACUUAGCUUCACCUCCCUAGGAACUGGGAUGUGGCCGGAAGCCUUUGGCAUUCUUUCCCUUCGUGAGCCUUCUUUCAGCUAACUCUGCCAGCAGGGAUGUGCUCUGUGGCUCUUCCAAGGGGCACCCAGCAGAAAGAAGUAGCCUCAGUUCAGUCCCUGGGUCCUAGCUUGGUCCCUGCCUGGUCUCUGCCCACUUGGUACCCAGUAGCAUGUCCUGUACGGCUGAGGUUCUCGAUAAACACCUUCCUCCAGAUGGACAGAGCGUGGUAGGGCCACGGUGGAACACAGAGCUUGGAGAGCAGUUCGGGGAGUCCUGAUCCUGUUCCUACUGAGGCCCUCUCCACCUCGUCCUCCUGGCCCCUCCCUGGCUGCCACGGACCCUGCCCAGCCCAGCCACACUCAAGGUGCCACCCACUCCUCAAGAUUUAACUCUAACACCAAGGGAAGGUUUUCCUUUCCCAAGAAAAUCUGCAGUAGGCAGCAAUUCUGUGGGGUUACCAUACACCUGCUAUAGUUUGAUGUUUUCAAAGAAAAUAGUUCACCUAAUUGGUCCUUUACUUGUCAUUAGCAUCAUUUGCCUGAGACACACUUCAUGGCUUGGUUGAGACACCAUAGUUGAAGACUUCAUUCCAUUGUUAAUGAACCCUAAGCCUACCCUCACGGCUUCCUAUGAUACCUGGUCUCCCUUUGCCUAGGAUUCUGCCGCUCCUCUGCCUUCUGUACAGCCUGAAGUCUUAGCUCAAGUACCGCUCUCUCUAGGAAGCCCCCCCUCUCUGACCUCUCCCCUACACUGGGACACCGUGGUUCUCAUGCAUCUCCCUGGAGGCACCGGGUUUUCGCUGUUCACUUGCUUCCCAGCCUACCUCCCGCUCACCAUGGUGCCCGGAAGGGCCUGACCACGUAGUUCAACCAGAGGGAAUCCAGCAUGGAGGAAGAGAAGCAGGAAGAAGCCUGCGCACCAGGAGCCCUCUUUACCGUUUUGUUAUGAGUUGUUUCCAUCUGCCGAAAGCGUCUGCCCGCAGGUUCUCCUGCAGGUGUCUCAUCUUGCCCUUGUCGGGCAGAAGGAAGGUGGCCGUGAAGUUGCCCUGGUAGGGAAUCUCCAGGAUGGUGCAGAAGAGCUGCUUGUCAUAGCCCAUGUCGUAUAGCCCCGCUCGGAACAUCAUGGGCACCUUCACUGCUUGGGUCCUGCUCACAAAGAAGUCUUCCUCCUUCGUUUGUUUUGGAUCAAACUCAUGUUCCCACCUGGCUUAGGAUUGAAGAAGGACAAAAGUAACAUGAGUGUCCCGAUGGUAAGAAGGUGACCAGAUCUGACUUCCAUUGGUGGCUGGCUACAGAGAUUCAGAGUAAGGGAUAUGGAUAUUCGGAUGUCACAGUAAGACCCUAGGAAUCCCUGCCCUUCUUCCAUGUCCUGAAGACUUCUGGGGUGGUAGGGUCAGCUCUAAAUGAAGCCAGGACCUCGACUGCUGACCAGGAAAGGGAGCAGGCCCUCUCCAUGCCCCAAUGCUGCUGAGGCUUCUCUGUUCGACCUCGAGAAUCUACAAAGUCUGAUAGGGAGAUGAAGCCAUCUACCUAAGUAACCAUCGUCACUGUGACCCACACAGUCACCAUCCUGGGCAGGUCGUGGAAGUUGACAGGAAGAAUGUCCGCAUUGUAUAUGUUCCUGGCCACUCUCAGGAACUUCUGCUGGGGCUCCAGCUUCCGGUCCAUGAACAUGGUGUUGCCGAAGAGCAGCUUGAUGUCCUCCUUCUCCUGGUUCAGCUGGUAGAGGAAGCGGUGGAAGGCUUGGUGCAGGUCCCUAUCCGGCAUCCCCUUAAAGUUGAAGCCCUCCUUGAUCUCGGCCAGCGUUGAGUCUUGGGCCCCCAGACACAGCAGGGAGAAGGCAGAGGAGAUGCUCAAGGGCGAGAAGAAGACGUUCUUCCUGGGGCUGUUGGCAGCCAGCUUCCUGAGCAUCUUGAGGCCAAAUUCCAUGUUGCGCUUGGCCACAUUCUGGGCGUUCAUUUCUUCCUUCCAUCCUCGGGGGUAAACCUUAGUCAUCAAGAUCGGAGAAGAGAAGAUGGGCUUCCGCUGCCCUUCUGUGGUGAGGAGGCCAGCCAGGAAGAGGCCCAGGCCCAGACUCAGGCCCAGCGUGAGGUUCAUUGUCCUUGGAGAUUGUCCUGCUGAGUAGCAGAUCUGAGUUAGCGGGAAAAAUCACAAAGGUGCUCCCUUGUUUCUAUCUGGUUCCCAAAGAAGCCCAGGUACAAAGGCCAGUGGAGGGGCCAGCGAUGUGGAGAGGCAUCUCACCACUCAGCUUUAGUGCCAUCCCAGGGAGGAGGAAUGGUUAGCCUCGCUUCACGCGUGAGAGUUGAGCACUGUUUGCUUGUUUUUGAAGAGCAGGAGAAUUUAGUGGAAGAAAGGAAUGAGGAAUGGGAAUAGGGAACAGGAGAGACCGGAGGGGACCCUGACCCUCGGUGGGUUGUUAGUGAACCUUCUUCUCUUUCUUUGUUUCUAGUUUUUUUUUGUUUGUGGGGGGUGGUUUUAAAACAGAGUCUCUCUGUGCAGUUCAGGCUGGCCUUGAACUCACUUUGUAGCCCAGCCUGAACUCAAACUUGGGCCAUCCUCCUGCCUCAGCCUCCAGAGGGCUGGGACUCCAGGGGGUAUGCCACAAUGCCUGGCUUUAGUGAGCCUGCUUUUCGAAGGAACAAAAUUAUGAGGCAGGUACAAUGUGGGUCAAAAUUAUGAUCAAUUAAUAAGAUGAAAAGUAUGGUCACUUAAGUAGUAUUGAUCCUGUGGUAGCAAGGGCAUACGGAUGACAUCACUGACCUUGGCCGAUGACCUAGAGUCUUGUCUUUAGUCUUAGUCUUAGUUUUAGUUUGUCUUAGUCUUAGUGGGUGGGAGACGAUGGUCCACUUAUAAUAAUAAUGGGGAAUCCGAAAGGGGUGAUACCAAUAACCUCAAGAAGAUUCCGGCUCUUGUCCCCUCCUCUCCCAUAUCACCCUGGCAGUGAUUCAGUUCCCUUGAGGGACCUCUGUCCGUCACUGUAGCUUUCUGCAUCCUGGACAUGAUGCCUAGAAUCUGCCACUUUAAUCCUCCAACCUUUGCCCUGUGGGUUAUUAAAGAAUGAGAGGCUAGCUAACAUCAGAUCCCUCUGUGUCUUUCCUGGCAGCAGAGCAUGGCAGGCAGGCUGGCACUGCAUGCUGCCCGCUGGAGCACCAAGCAGGAGAGAAGAGCACACAUUCCAGGGCUUUCAGGGGAGCUGGCGCUGGAGCCGCGCCCCCUCUACCCUGUGUCAGGAGCUCUGUCCUCUGGUCCCAUGGCCUCCUGAAAACAAAUUUUCAAUUCAAACCCAGGGGUUCUCAAAGCACCUUCCGCUCCAGGGACUACCUUUGGUAAAAUUAGGAAAGCUGGUGAUGGAUGAGCAGGAGCUCCCUGGCUGCCCGAGGAACUCGCUCAGCAGGGUGUGGUGGCCGCGAAGCUGCGAAGCCCAGAGGGAGCUGGCCGAGCUGCACCUGUGAGUCAGGCAGGCUGUGCCCGCCCAGCCCAGUGUGGGGAGACUGCUGGGCUCCGCCCGGAAGACACUCCUGGAGCACCCUACGCACACAGAUCAGUGGCAGAGAUCCUUUGCUGACCCCCAAAAGCGUUCCUGUUUCCCUGAGUUUCUGAGGUGAGGUCUGAGUGGGGAAUGGCACUGUUCUGCUGGUUGGACAGCAGGAGGCCAGUUCCCUGGUCCUUCGGACACCAGCACCCUCACCUAGUAAAUGUCAGCGAGAGCUCAUCCUCCUCCCCGCAAAGGCUGCCCUGGAGCUGGAGGCCACCCCUGGGGUCUUAACUUCCUCCUACCCAGGAGUCUGGGUCAGAGAGCAUCCUCUGGAUCCGCUCAGGCCUUCUGCCCUGCCUCCACCCGGUAUAAACAGCCUGGGCCUUCCCAUCGUUCAUCCUGGUCCCUAAACUGACCCAAAUUUGUCAUGUAGGUUAGACGCCCAAGUAGGCUAAACUUCUUUCCAUCAAUUAAAAUAGCUGAGCAACUAAUUAAUGCCUAAUAAACUGACAGGUUGCUCCCUGGGUUGAGCAAUUCUC
Long non-coding RNA from Cavia porcellus (domestic guinea pig), 6509 nucleotides. RefSeq lists it as uncharacterized. The record is from RefSeq and is a predicted model, not a curated record. The transcript has 7 exons. NCBI's taxonomy places the organism in Eukaryota, Metazoa, Chordata, Mammalia, Rodentia, Caviidae.